AUGAGCAGCGGCACGAACAAGUUAUGCGGAUGUUCCAUCAUCGUCCUGCUGCGUCACCCUCAGGCAAAGCCACCUGACAUUCCGCCACACUCUGACUACAAGCCAUGUAUCCAGUAUGGCGCCAUCAAUAAGCACACCAGUGGAGGAGCUUCAAUAGGGCCAAGGGGGGCUAUGGCCCCCUACCCUAGAGAAAUUAUGGGUGUUUUGGGGAUCAAGAACUACAACAUGAUGUUGUUGGGGGACAUGCACGCGCAGAAAGAGAUGAUACUAGAGAAAGACCCGAGCGACUUCAGCUUCUCGGGUGACUGGGUGUUCUCGAGGAGGGUCUACUUUGAUUGA
Molecule: ribosomal RNA, 339 nt
Filed under: Triticum aestivum (bread wheat)
Lineage: Eukaryota; Viridiplantae; Streptophyta; Magnoliopsida; Poales; Poaceae
Description: partial small subunit ribosomal RNA
Source: RNAcentral